GUUAAAAAGCUCGUAGUUGGAUUUCUGGUUGGAGCGACCGGUCGGGCAUUGAUUUGUCUGCACUGGAGUCGGUUCCGUCCAUCCUCUCGGAAAGUGCGUAUGGCAUUAAGUUGUCGUGCGUAUGAUCCGGGUCUUUUACUGUGAAAAAAUUAGAGUGUUUAAAGCAGGCCUUCGCCUUGAAUACAUUAGCAUGGAAUAAUAAGAUAGGACUUGGGUCUAUUUUGUUGGUUUGCAGACCGAAGUAAUGAUUAAUAGGGAUAGUUGGGGGUAUUUAUAUUCCGAUGUCAGAGGUGAAAUUCUUAGAUUUUCGGAAGAUAAACUUAUGCGAAAGCAUUUACCAAGGAUGUUUUCAUUAAUCAAGAACGAAAGUUAGGGGAUCGAAGAUGAUUA
RNAcentral lists this ribosomal RNA (390 nucleotides) under uncultured marine eukaryote. Its description in RNAcentral is "SSU rRNA". It matches the Rfam family "Eukaryotic small subunit ribosomal RNA", at positions 618 to 1010 of the family's 1831-position model. The record is from RNAcentral.